This 4708-nucleotide long non-coding RNA is filed under the name Brassica napus (rape). Its description in RNAcentral is "long non-coding RNA (BNAP_LNC005771)". The record is from RNAcentral. Lineage: Eukaryota; Viridiplantae; Streptophyta; Magnoliopsida; Brassicales; Brassicaceae.
UUCCAACAACAACUCAACCAGCUUCUCACCAUCCAAUACAGCAAUCCUUUGCACGGUACAUAUAGACGAGUUGAUGAGUAUCGUAGUAGAAAUGGGUUCUCGUUUGAAAAAUUCAUCAUCAGGUAAGAGAGUCUCAGCCGGCUGGUGCUUUUCCUCAUCAGUAUCUAAGUCGUUUUCAAUUUCUUCACUGCUUUCAACAACUUGUUCGCUAUCAGACUGCAUAUUCCUUGCAUGUUGCAAGGUAACAGGUUCCUGAAGAAACCAUGGUUCCUCAAUAGGCUGAUAGUUGUCAGAAAAUAACGCACUAAAAUCUGAGUUAUCUGAUGAGAAGGUUGCAAGCUCAUCACUAAAGAAAGAUUCAUCUUCUAAUUGUUUAUCAUUCAAAAGUGGUCUUGGGACUUCCACAGCAGUAUCGGAGAGAGUGCAUUCAUCUGCCAAAACACUGGAAGCAUUUGAGUUUUAAAAUAUUUUACAAAUGAUGAAAAGAGACUAAAAGAGGAGGAGCCACCCAGAUGUGUUACCUUCGCUAUGACCUGAAGUAACAGAGUUUGGUAAAAGGUGAGCAUCAUCGAUCCAAGAACCCCAUAAGUAGGAGUCUUGUGAUUGAGAGGAAACACUCAUCCAUGAAUCCCUUAUGAUUACUUUUCUGUCUCCAUUGACAGCCGAAGGCAGAGAUAAGGAAAACUGGGGCCCUGGUCUCCAGAUGACGUCAAAGGAAGAAUCAUAUCCAGCUUUUAAAAAAUAAUUGUACCUGAAACUGACACCAGAAGCAAUCUGCCAAGCACAUUAAGUUAUAAGCAUACGAGACUUGAACUAGCUAAUGAUACAUCUCUACUUACGUUCCCUAUGGCUUAAAACGAAACAAAUAAAUGGAUAUACCUUGACUUUAGCUUCCCAUUGAUUAUCAUUCCCAGUGGGAUACAUUGAAAUGGCGCAGUCUGGCUCCCAGCUACCUAAAGCGGAAGGAUCUCCAGUAACGUAGAGAUGUUCGUUGGGUGCAAGGUCAGCUUCCACGAUCCAAACAACCUCGCAUAGUCCUUUGAGAAGCCUGGCUGGAUGUUCUGAGAAUGCAGAAAACAAAAGUUACGACUCAACUGAGUUUCCAUAAACAGAAAAGGUUUGGUCUCCCAGUUACCUUGUUGUGCAGCAGUUAUAGUAGCAGACCUUGCACGGAUACGAGAGACCCCAAAGCACAAGGUGAGCCUAAACCUCUGUCCACGUUCGAUAUGAGAGAACAUAUAUCUGUUGAACGACAGAGAUUCUACUAAGUUCACGGAGAAACAAAGUACAAACACAUAGUCAAUCUUUCAGAACAGGCAUAGCUUUCAGAAAUGUGUAGCCUAGCCAUCACCAGAUGGAUAUACACAACCAGUUUCAGGUGCAAUGUUUAAACAAUCCAACAUCUUCCCGAAAACUAAAACUCUCAAUUCAUUCAAGCUCUAAGUCUCUAAAGCUUUUAAAGACCAAUAAGAAAACCCAUCUCAUAUAUCCAAAAGCUUCAAUUUUUAAUGAGAGCACAUACAAAGUGUAUGCUACAAUGCCUCAAUGAAAGAACUUACGAAGAAACAGGAAACCCAGAAGAAACAAGCCAUGAGGAGCGUGGAGAAACUGAAAAUUGAGGAAGACGGCGCCACGGAACUUCAGCGACGUCCAUGGUGUUGUUGAGUCAGUCUCCUGGAAACGGAGUUAAUCAGUAGCGCCGAGGUGGUGAAAGAGCGAGAGAGAUGAAGAAGGAGCUUGGGUUUGGUUUCAGAGAGGCCGAGCGAGAGCUAAGAAAAUGGACUCCGGGGAGGGAGGGAGGGAGGGAGGGAGGUGAAGUGAAGCAGAUGACGAUAACGGGAGGAUAUGGUCUCUCUCCUCUUUCUCUUUGGUGGCUUUGGCGCCUUGUUGUUGUGGCACGUGUCUUGGAUAUCAUUUCAUACGUGUGAAGCUCUCUAAGCCCAAUAACCAAUUAUUAUAUUUUUGGUAUCUUUCUUUCAGGUCCAUUCUCAGCCCAACUGAUAAGCUUCUCUAGUCAUUUGUCGAAUGAUUCUCCACUGGGUCAAGAUUUCAAUCUAUCUAUUUUUUUUUUAAACAAAGUGUUUUUUUUUAAUAAUAAACUCUUAUUUCACCAAAUAAAUACUAAUUUCUGCCGAUGUCAAACAAUAAAUAAAAAAUACUAAUUUCUGCCAUUAUAUUUCCAUCUUUAAUAAUAUCAGGUAAAUCAAAUCGGUUGUAUCUAAACAUAUUUAUUUAAAAUAUAUACUAUCAAUUAUAUUUUUUGUGUUAUGAAAAAUUUUAUAUGUCUAUUUUAUAAAAAUAAACACAUGUACGGAUGCACGGAUCAAGUUCUAAUUAUAUUUAGAGCUGUAGUAAGCUUUCUUUUAGGUUAUAGAAAGAGUAGUGAAUUUAGGAUAUGAUUAGCAAGGUUUUACUAUUGUUUAUUAUUAAAUAAAUUAUGUUAGAUCAUUUCCAACUCAUCAAUAUUUAGAGAAUAAACAUUCUUUUUAUUUUUUAAAACGAAUUUCCAUACAACUGCGUAUUUUGGUUGAUUUUGCAAAGAUGGACGUUUAGAUUAGUGUGACUAACAUCGAGCACGGUGUCGAUGCAUUCAUCAGCUACAUGUCUUUUUUUUUUGAUAAAUAUGUGAAUAUCAUUAUCAAAUGAAGGAGUUUUGCUUUUACAAAAAGUUUAAAACCUGAGACCAAUCUAAGACAAAAAAAAUAAAAACAGAGAGAGGCCUAAGAGAGCUAUAAUAACUAAUAUAAGCAAAGUGAUAGAAGCUUAGUCAUAUCUGAGCCAAGCUUGCAUCAGUUUCUUAAAGUUCUUGCGUUUUUGUCUCGCAAAUAUGGAGUCUCGUAUCAGUCUGUCAAUGGACUUGAAGAGGACUAGAGGCGGAGUGGUGGAGUUGUUGUGAAGGCGAUUGUUUCUCUCCUGCCAUAUUUUGUAAAUGGUGGCAUGAGAGACGAGUUUGCGAAGAAUGGAGGAGCAUAUGUUGUCCUUUAUGUCUAACCAAGAGAUGAAGGCUGUCCAAGUGUGGAAGAGUGUCUGCCUGUACCCAAGCCGAGUUGUAACGACAGACCAAAUAUGUUCACUGUAAGAGCAUCUGAGGAAAAGAUGAUCUCGCGUUUCCCGGUAAGUGUUGCAGAUGCAGCAACAAUCAGCAAUCUGAAGUCCCCAUGACACCAGACAUGAUCGAGUUGGUAAUCUGUCUAGCUGAGCGACCCACAUCAUGAAUGCAUGGCUUGGUGUUGAACCUUUAAACCAGAUAACGUCUGACCAAACUUGAGUCUGACCACGAGGACGAAGCGCUUCCCAUGUUAGCUUUGCAGAGAAAGAGUUUGUGCUCACAUCAGCAACCUGCCAGUAAUAAGAAUCUGCUGUAGGUGAGAGAGAGGGCAAUGGAAUCGAGCACAAGAAGAUUUGGAAAUCCUCUGCCUGGGCGGAGCGGGCAUGUCUGAUUCUCCAUCCUGUUUCAGAGCAAGCCGAAGCCGGAGCGGGAAUGUCAGCUACAUGUCUUUCCAAACAGGAAUCGACUCCGCCUCCCAUUCUUUUUGAUCAAACAUAACUUUUAUUCAGAGGAAAUAGUUCUACACUCCAACAGAGGAGGUAAGUACAAUAACACUAGCUAGAGCCGAUUUGAAUUCAUAUUUACAAAUGUGACUAUGAUGUCACUUUGAAUUCUACUAAAUAAAUCAAGUGAUGGUAUUUCUUGAGACUUAGCGUGUAUCCAUGUUGGUCAUGAGUUUGAUUUUUAUUAAAUUAAAUGAUCGGCCCACCUCUUAAAAUUAGUCGGAAAUGAUUUUAAAUUCGGAUCAGAUAUGUAGUAACCUGUCUACUCUAUUACACUAAAAUAAAUUCUACUAAUAUUGCAUAUGGUUGAUGGGUCGUUCGGGACCACUUAGGGACAGCAAAAUAUGGGGAUCAUCAACAUCUGGCACUAACUUCUUUAGUUUAGAAGGUGAAGGCUAAAGGUUUGACUGGUAUUAUUAGCGUAAGGCAGAGUAAAAAUAAAUAGUGGAAAAGAGUGGAAAUAAAAAUGAUGGGAAAGAGAAAAAUAAAAAGUAGUUUUACUCUAGUAAAAUGUAGAGUAAACCUGAGUUUGACAGAGUAAAAGUUCAAAAAAUAUAUUCCACCUGAUUGAAAAGAAUUUAGUGGUAUUUGGAGUAAAACUAAAAUCAGAGUAAUAAUUUACUCUAGAGAGACUUUUCAGUCACACACUAAAGCUCUCAGAUCUGUUGGAUAAAUGGUUUUUGAUAUAUAUAUAUAUAUAUAUAUAUUUAUGGUGUAAUUGAUAUAUUAUUUUUGAAGGAGAUUAAAAAUGUUAAAUGUGAAGAUGUAAGAUGUCCGCCCUGAAGUAGUCGCUGACGUGAGUAUCGUAGUAGAAAUGGGUUCUCGUUUGAAAAAUUCAUCAUCAGGUAAGAGAGUCUCAGCCGGCUGGUGCUUUUCCUCAUCAGUAUCUAAGUCGUUUUCAAUUUCUUCACUGCUUUCAACAACUUGUUCGCUAUCAGACUGCAUAUUCCUUGCAUGUUGCAAGGUAACAGGUUCCUGAAGAAACCAUGGUUCCUCAAUAGGCUGAUACUUGUCAGAAAAUAACGCACUAAAAUCUGAGUUGUCUGAUGAGAAGGUUGCAAGCUCAUCACUAAAGAAAGAUUCAUCUUCUAAUUGUUUAUCAUUCAAAAGUGGUCUUGGGACUUCCACAGCAGUGUCGGAGAAAGUGCAUUCAUCU